RNAcentral lists this vault RNA (98 nucleotides) under Nomascus leucogenys (northern white-cheeked gibbon). RNAcentral's name for it is "Vault RNA (ENSNLEG00000024889.1)". It matches the Rfam family "Vault RNA". From Rfam's summary of the family: This family of RNAs are found as part of the enigmatic vault ribonucleoprotein complex. The complex consists of a major vault protein (MVP), two minor vault proteins (VPARP and TEP1), and several small untranslated RNA molecules. Lineage: Eukaryota; Metazoa; Chordata; Mammalia; Primates; Hylobatidae. The record is from Rfam by way of RNAcentral.
GGACUGGCUCUAUCUCAGGAGUUCCUUCCAUAAAGCAUCAACUUUCAAUUUCCCCCGCAGGGGUGGUUUGAGACCUGAGGGCACUCUCUAGUUCUUAG